GGGGAAGGGUAGCUUGCUACCUGACCUAGCGGCGGACGGGUGAGUAAUGCUUAGGAAUCUGCCUAUUAGUGGGGGACAACAUUCCGAAAGGAAUGCUAAUACCGCAUACGCCCUACGGGGGAAAGCAGGGGAUCUUCGGACCUUGCGCUAAUAGAUGAGCCUAAGUCAGAUUAGCUAGUUGGUGGGGUAAAGGCCUACCAAGGCGACGAUCUGUAGCGGGUCUGAGAGGAUGAUCCGCCACACUGGGACUGAGACACGGCCCAGACUCCUACGGGAGGCAGCAGUGGGGAAUAUUGGACAAUGGGCGAAAGCCUGAUCCAGCCAUGCCGCGUGUGUGAAGAAGGCCUUUUGGUUGUAAAGCACUUUAAGCGAGGAGGAGGCUACUGAGAUUAAUACUCUUGGAUAGUGGACGUUACUCGCAGAAUAAGCACCGGCUAACUCUGUGCCAGCAGCCGCGGUAAUACAGAGGGUGCGAGCGUUAAUCGGAUUUACUGGGCGUA
RNAcentral lists this ribosomal RNA (500 nucleotides) under uncultured bacterium. RNAcentral describes it as "bacterial SSU rRNA". It matches the Rfam family "Bacterial small subunit ribosomal RNA", at positions 68 to 562 of the family's 1533-position model. The record is from RNAcentral.